This 274-nucleotide ribosomal RNA is filed under the name uncultured bacterium. Its description in RNAcentral is "partial 16S ribosomal RNA". It matches the Rfam family "Bacterial small subunit ribosomal RNA", at positions 523 to 796 of the family's 1533-position model. The record is from RNAcentral.
AUACGAAAGGGGCUAGCGUUGUUCGGAAUUACUGGGCGUAAAGCGCACGUAGGCGGCAUUGUAAGUUGGGGGUGAAAUCCCGGAGCUCAACUCCGGAACUGCCUCCAAAACUACAAAGCUCGAGGAUGUGAGAGGAGAGUGGAAUUCCAAGUGUAGAGGUGAAAUUCGUAGAUAUUUGGAAGAACACCAGUGGCGAAGGCGACUCUCUGGCACAUUUCUGACGCUGAGGUGUGAAAGCGUGGGGAGCAAACAGGAUUAGAAACCCUAGUAGUCC